RNAcentral lists this ribosomal RNA (382 nucleotides) under uncultured bacterium. RNAcentral describes it as "bacterial SSU rRNA". It matches the Rfam family "Bacterial small subunit ribosomal RNA", at positions 28 to 410 of the family's 1533-position model. The record is from RNAcentral.
GACGAACGCUGGCGGCGUGCUUAACACAUGCAAGUCGAGCGGUAAGGCCCUUUCGGGGGUACGACGAGCGGCGAACGGGUGAGUAACACGUGGGUGACCUGCCCUCAGCUCUGGGAUAAGCCUGGGAAACCGGGUCUAAUACCGGAUAUGACUCCAUGACGCAUGUUGUGGGGUGGAAAGCCUUGUGCGGCUGAGGAUGGGCCCGCGGCCUAUCAGCUUGUUGGUGGGGUGAUGGCCUACCAAGGCGACGACGGGUAGCCGGCCUGAGAGGGCGACCGGCCACACUGGGACUGAGACACUGCCCGGACACCUAUGGGUGGCUGCAGUAACGAAUCUUCCGCAAUGGGCGAAAGCCUGACGGAGCGACGCCGCGUGGAGGAAU